UACAGAGGUCCCAAGCGUUGUUCGGAUUCACUGGGCGUAAAGGGUGCGUAGGCGGUUGGGUAAGUCUGAUGUGAAAUCUCACAGCUUAACUGUGAAACUGCAUUGGAUACUAUCCGGCUAGAGGAAUGGGAGGGGAGACUGGAAUACUUGGUGUAGCAGUGAAAUGCGUAGAUAUCAAGUGGAACACCAGUGGCGAAGGCGAGUCUCUGGACAUUUCCUGACGCUGAGGCACGAAAGCCAGGGGAGCAAACGGG
RNAcentral lists this ribosomal RNA (254 nucleotides) under uncultured bacterium. RNAcentral describes it as "partial 16S ribosomal RNA". It matches the Rfam family "Bacterial small subunit ribosomal RNA", at positions 524 to 776 of the family's 1533-position model. The record is from RNAcentral.